GACGAACGCUGGCGGCGUGCUUAACACAUGCAAGUCGAACGAUGAAGCCGGAGCUUGCUCUGGUGAAUUAGUGGCGAACGGGUGAGUAACACGUGAGUAACCUGCCCUUGACUCUGGGAUAACUGCGGGAAACUGUAGCUAAUACCGGAUACGACCCUCGGAGGCAUCUCCUGGGGGUGGAAAGAAUUUCGGUCAAGGAUGGACUCGCGGCCUAUCAGCUAGUUGGUGAGGUAACGGCUCACCAAGGCGACGACGGGUAGCCGGCCUGAGAGGGAGACCGGCAACACGGGGACUGAGACAGGGCACAGACUCCUACGGGAGGCAGCAGUGGGGAAUAUUGAACAAUGGGCGCAAGCCUGAUGCAGCAACGCCGCGUGAGGGAUGACGGCCUUCGGGUUGUAAACCUCUUUUAGUAGGGAAGAAGCGAAAGUGACGGUACCUGCAGAAAAAGCACCGGCUAACUACGUGCCAGCAGCCGCCGUAA
This 484-nucleotide ribosomal RNA is filed under the name uncultured bacterium. Its description in RNAcentral is "partial 16S ribosomal RNA". It matches the Rfam family "Bacterial small subunit ribosomal RNA", at positions 28 to 523 of the family's 1533-position model. The record is from RNAcentral.